Molecule: long non-coding RNA, 320 nt
Filed under: Zea mays
Lineage: Eukaryota; Viridiplantae; Streptophyta; Magnoliopsida; Poales; Poaceae
Description: long non-coding RNA (ZMAY_LNC000828)
Source: RNAcentral
UUCAAGCAGUCAAAUUUGUAGUGUUCAUAGUUGGUGCGGUUGGUCUUUUUUCUUGGCCUGUGUCGAUCAAUAUAUUCUUGUUCCAUGUCCAACUUUGAGAUGCCAUAUUCUUCACAAAAAGACAAUACAUUCCCUAACAAAGAAUCCCAACCAUCAUCUCUAAUUUGCUGAAACUUUUGUUUUGUUAAUCUCACCUCUGCCAUGGCCUCUAAUAUAUCUUUAUCUUUCCUUUGCAAUGAUAGUGACAACAAAUUAGCAUGCCCCAAAAUAAGCAACAUUAAUUGUAAGUGGAACACGAAGUCAAAAUCUUUAAGAUAGUC